ACGCUCGACACCUACGGGAGGCAGCAGUGGGGAAUAUUGCACAAUGGGGGAAACCCUGAUGCAGCGACGCCGCGUGAAGGAAGAAGUAUCUCGGUAUGUAAACUUCUAUCAGCAGGGAAGAAAAUGACGGUACCUGACUAAGAACGCCCCGGCUAACUACGUGCCAUCAGCCGCGGUAAUCUGAGCGGGCUGGCAAGGC
This 199-nucleotide ribosomal RNA is filed under the name uncultured bacterium. RNAcentral describes it as "partial 16S ribosomal RNA". It matches the Rfam family "Bacterial small subunit ribosomal RNA", at positions 328 to 539 of the family's 1533-position model. The record is from RNAcentral.